GCGGUUGUGGCGGAAUUGGCAGACUCACUAGAGUUAGCAUCUAGUGCCAUUUGCGUGGGGGUUCGACUCCCUGCAUCCGUACAA
Molecule: transfer RNA, 84 nt
Filed under: Clostridioides difficile
Lineage: Bacteria; Bacillati; Bacillota; Clostridia; Peptostreptococcales; Peptostreptococcaceae
Description: tRNA-Leu
Source: RNAcentral